CAUUUAUAAGCUUAAAGACUCAAAAACAAGAUUCAAAAGUCACAAACAUUGCUAUGUUACGUGAAAACAAAAGCAUUAUUCUAACAGUGGUGAUGAUGGAGAAGCAGGGAUCCAAGACCCACAUUGCUGCCCCAAACACCUUUUGACAGGUCCCAGAUCUUGUAAAUGUUUCAGCAAUAUCAGAUUGGAUUGUGCAUAUUCCUCAUAGCUUUGACUGGUUUUUUAGCUACAGUACUGAAGUUCUUUAAUUGAUGGAUAAGACCAUUUCAGAAGCAGGCCUUGAAAGAAAGAGCUUUGUCAUUUGUGUGUGUGUGUAUUCAGAUGUAUUUCCCUUUGGAGAAAUUCUUCCAAGUCCUAAGCAUCCUUCUAUCCCAGCCAAAGCAGCCCUGUCUACGCCCCAGUCACAUCGUGCACACUUCUACUCUCAGCUGUGCCUCUGCCUCUCUGAACCACCUUGCCUUCAGAAGUUCCUUGAAUCUGUCAAAAGCCAGCUGAAGCCAUCUUCCUUCACGAAGCCGCCCCUGAAUUCUCCAGCUUUCCUGGGCCUGGUCUCUCCAUUUGAUUAGGGCACUGUGAGGCACUGCUUCUCACCUGAGAACUUAAAAAUAAUGCAGCCAACAAUGUUUUACAAGACAGCAUUCCAAGAACAGACCACCAAGGUCAGUGCGUAAUGGUGCAGAGCA
RNAcentral lists this long non-coding RNA (683 nucleotides) under Fukomys damarensis (Damara mole-rat). RNAcentral's name for it is "lncRNA (ENSFDAG00000027417.1)". Lineage: Eukaryota; Metazoa; Chordata; Mammalia; Rodentia; Bathyergidae. The record is from RNAcentral.